Molecule: ribosomal RNA, 494 nt
Filed under: uncultured bacterium
Lineage: Bacteria
Description: SSU rRNA
Rfam family: Bacterial small subunit ribosomal RNA
Source: RNAcentral
AGAUUGAACGCUGGCGGCGUGCUUAACACAUGCAAGUCGAGCGGUAACGCGGGAGCAAUCCUGGCGACGAGCGGCGAACGGGUGAGUAAUGCUUGGGAAUCUGCCCAUUAGUGGGGAACAACCAGCCGAAAGGUUGGCUAAUACCGCAUACGCCCUACGGGGGAAAGCGGGGGAUCGUAAGACCUCGCGCUAAUGGAUGAGCCCAAGUCGGAUUAGCUUGUUGGUAGGGUAACGGCCUACCAAGGCGACAAUCCGUAGCUGGUCUGAGAGGACGACCAGCCACACUGGGACUGAGACACGGCCCAGACUCCUACGGGAGGCAGCAGUGGGGAAUAUUGGACAAUGGGGGCAACCCUGAUCCAGCGACGCCGCGUGUGUGAAGAAGGCCUGCGGGUUGUAAGCACUUUUAGUGGGGAUGAAAAGCUCAGGGUUAACACCUCUGGGUCUUGACCUAACCACAGAAAAGCACCGGCUAACUCUGUGCCAGCAGCCGC